Molecule: ribosomal RNA, 1372 nt
Filed under: uncultured bacterium
Lineage: Bacteria
Description: bacterial SSU rRNA
Rfam family: Bacterial small subunit ribosomal RNA
Source: RNAcentral
GAUGAACGCAGGCGGCGUGCCUAAUACAUGCAAGUCGAGCGAACGGACGAGAAGCUUGCUUCUCUGAUGUUAGCGGCGGACGGGUGAGUAACACGUGGAUAACCUACCUAUAAGACUGGGAUAACUUCGGGAAACCGGAGCUAAUACCGGAUAAUAUUUUGAACCGCAUGGUUCAAAAGUGAAAGACGGUCUUGCUGUCACUUAUAGAUGGAUCCGCGCUGCAUUAGCUAGUUGGUAAGGUAACGGCUUACCAAGGCAACGAUGCAUAGCCGACCUGAGAGGGUGAUCGGCCACACUGGAACUGAGACACGGUCCAGACUCCUACGGGAGGCAGCAGUAGGGAAUCUUCCGCAAUGGGCGAAAGCCUGACGGAGCAACGCCGCGUGAGUGAUGAAGGUCUUCGGAUCGUAAAACUCUGUUAUUAGGGAAGAACAUAUGUGUAAGUAACUGUGCACAUCUUGACGGUACCUAAUCAGAAAGCCACGGCUAACUACGUGCCAGCAGCCGCGGUAAUACGUAGGUGGCAAGCGUUAUCCGGAAUUAUUGGGCGUAAAGCGCGCGUAGGCGGUUUUUUAAGUCUGAAGUGAAAGCCCACGGCUCAACCGUGGAGGGUCAUUGGAAACUGGAAAACUUGAGUGCAGAAGAGGAAAGUGGAAUUCCAUGUGUAGCGGUGAAAUGCGCAGAGAUAUGGAGGAACACCAGUGGCGAAGGCGACUUUCUGGUCUGUAACUGACGCUGAUGUGCGAAAGCGUGGGGAUCAAACAGGAUUAGAUACCCUGGUAGUCCACGCCGUAAACGAUGAGUGCUAAGUGUUAGGGGGUUUCCGCCCCUUAGUGCUGCAGCUAACGCAUUAAGCACUCCGCCUGGGGAGUACGACCGCAAGGUUGAAACUCAAAGGAAUUGACGGGGACCCGCACAAGCGGUGGAGCAUGUGGUUUAAUUCGAAGCAACGCGAAGAACCUUACCAAAUCUUGACAUCCUUUGACAACUCUAGAGAUAGAGCUUUCCCCUUCGGGGGACAAAGUGACAGGUGGUGCAUGGUUGUCGUCAGCUCGUGUCGUGAGAUGUUGGGUUAAGUCCCGCAACGAGCGCAACCCUUAAGCUUAGUUGCCAUCAUUAAGUUGGGCACUCUAAGUUGACUGCCGGUGACAAACCGGAGGAAGGUGGGGAUGACGUCAAAUCAUCAUGCCCCUUAUGAUUUGGGCUACACACGUGCUACAAUGGACAAUACAAAGGGCAGCGAAACCGUGAGGUCAAGCAAAUCCCAUAAAGUUGUUCUCAGUUCGGAUUGUAGUCUGCAACUCGACUACAUGAAGCUGGAAUCGCUAGUAAUCGUAGAUCAGCAUGCUACGGUGAAUACGUUCCCGGGUCU